Molecule: ribosomal RNA, 390 nt
Filed under: uncultured bacterium
Lineage: Bacteria
Description: bacterial SSU rRNA
Rfam family: Bacterial small subunit ribosomal RNA
Source: RNAcentral
AUUGAACGCUGGCGGCAUGCCUUACACAUGCAAGUCGAACGGUAGCGGGCCUUCGGGUGCCGACGAGUGGCGAACGGGUGAGUAAUGCAUCGGAACGUGCCAUUGAGUGGGGGAUAACGUAGCGAAAGUUACGCUAAUACCGCAUAUUCUGUGAGCAGGAAAGCAGGGGACCGCAAGGCCUUGCGCUCUUUGAGCGGCCGAUGUCAGAUUAGCUAGUUGGUGAGGUAAAGGCUUACCAAGGCGACGAUCUGUAGCGGGUCUGAGAGGAUGAUCUGCCACACUGGAACUGAGGCACGGUCCAGACUCCUACGGGAGGCAGCAGUGGGGAAUUUUGGACAAAUGGGGGCAACCCUGAUCCAGCCAUGCCGCGUGAGUGAAGAAGGCCUUCGG